UACGGGGGGAGCAAGCGUUGUUCGGAUUUACUGGGCGUAAAGGGCGCGUAGGCGGCCAGCACAAGUCAGUUGUGAAAUCUCCGAGCUUAACUCGGAAAGGUCAACUGAUACUGUGCGGCUAGAGUGCGGAAGGGGCAACUGGAAUUCUUGGUGUAGCGGUGAAAUGCGUAGAUAUCAAGAGGAACACCUGCGGCGAAGGCGGGUCUCUGGGCCGUAACUGACGCUGGGGAGCGAAAGCGUGGGGAGCGAACAGG
RNAcentral lists this ribosomal RNA (254 nucleotides) under uncultured bacterium. RNAcentral's name for it is "partial 16S ribosomal RNA". It matches the Rfam family "Bacterial small subunit ribosomal RNA", at positions 524 to 776 of the family's 1533-position model. The record is from RNAcentral.